Molecule: unclassified non-coding RNA, 263 nt
Filed under: uncultured fungus
Lineage: Eukaryota; Fungi
Description: sequence contains ITS1
Source: RNAcentral
UUAGAUAAUUUGAUUAUCACUUCAGACGACAAAUUUGUAAAAGAAUUUAAGUAGGCUAUUGGCAAACACUGGCCAGAAGUUUGAACAACUUCCGGCGGUCCGUAAGGACGGGCUCGCCAAAGCAACAAAGUAAAUUUGACAAAGGGUUGGAGAUCGGGCCUAGAAGACCCUAACUCUGUAAUGAUCCUUCCGCAGGUUCACCUACCUACAAAAUAGUUAGUAAUUGUUGGAAAGUAUUGAGAGAGGGAAAUUGCUUACGGAAA